UGUAAUUCAGUGUUUGGACACGUGAAGCUUUGAUUUUCAAAAGUAUAAUUGUUUUAUAAGUUGCAA
Molecule: transfer RNA, 66 nt
Filed under: Stenopus scutellatus
Lineage: Eukaryota; Metazoa; Arthropoda; Malacostraca; Decapoda; Stenopodidae
Description: tRNA-Gln
Source: RNAcentral